Chiroxiphia lanceolata (lance-tailed manakin) is the source of this 733-nucleotide long non-coding RNA. RefSeq lists it as uncharacterized. The record is from RefSeq and is a predicted model, not a curated record. NCBI's taxonomy places the organism in Eukaryota, Metazoa, Chordata, Aves, Passeriformes, Pipridae. The transcript is spliced from 5 exons.
AAAUCAUGUCAAUGAGUACCUGGGUCCUGCUGCUGCCCCUCCCUUCCCUGUGCCCUGGUGCACCCUGAGGAGAGCAGAGAGGGGCAUGUGCUGGUUCCAGUGUGAGAAUCAUGAAGCCUGGAUUAUUCACACAAAUUCUGGGGCAGUCUUCUGGCUUGUAAAUACUUCCUCGAAUGACUUGGUGAAAAAUGAGGAGCCAAGCAGGGUGCUGUUAGAAGCAAUGAGCCUUGUGAAGCACUCGGAUGCACUCAGAUGCCAUCCUGAUAACGGCCCCAGAAAAGCUCACAAGAAAAUCAGCAGUUGUGUCUUCCAAGCAGAUCUAAGUUGUGCAUGUGCAAAAGGAUACCUGUGCCUAGAAAGAGACAAAAUCUGAAUUCCAAAAUGGAUGUUGUUCAAUGAAAUGUGCAGGAUCUUAAAUCUUGGCUCUGCUGAAGAGAUGUUUCUUGGUGCCUGGAUUCUGGAGUAUCUUCUCAGUGGAAAGGAACAUGGAGUUCCCAAUUCCCUCACAAGGUGUCUGAUGCAAGUAAAGGAGUUUGCAGACCUAAAGAUCUUUUUGAGGCUAAAUAGGUCUUAAGAACCAAAUAAGUUGGUUUCUAGUCCCAUAUCUGCCAUUCCUUAUUCCUAAAAACAGUCCUCACAUGGUUGACAUUUCCUUUCUGCACUUCACACAGGAGAGAGGGACUCCUGGAGGGGUGAAAGAAUAAAUCCAAUCUCCUCAGCCUCAUUAAGGAGC